UAUUAGGUUGGUGCAAAAGUAAUUGUGGUGUUUGCCAUUAAAAGUAAUGGCAAAAACUGCAAUUACUUUUGCACCAACCUAAGA
Pan troglodytes (chimpanzee) is the source of this 84-nucleotide microRNA precursor. It matches the Rfam family "mir-548 microRNA precursor family". The record is from Rfam. NCBI's taxonomy places the organism in Eukaryota, Metazoa, Chordata, Mammalia, Primates, Hominidae.